CGCACAUUGCGCCUGCUGGUAUUCCGGUAGGCAUGCCUGUUCGAGCGUCAGCAAAACCUCUCAGCUAUAAUUUUUUAUUUCUGGUUAUGGGCUGCGGAGGACUAGUCUUUACGGGCUGCUCCCGCCUUAAACUUGCUGCACGACCGCAAGCUUAUGCUAGGUUAAUGAAGUGGUAUUUACAUAUAUUUCAGCGACUGUUCAUAGCUUGGUGGCGUUAAAUUUGAUGUUGCCCUUACCGGUGAUUUUGAUUUUUGACCUCGAAUCAGACAAGGAUACCCGCUGAACUUAA
RNAcentral lists this unclassified non-coding RNA (289 nucleotides) under Orbiliales sp. Its description in RNAcentral is "partial contains 5.8S ribosomal RNA, internal transcribed spacer 2, and large subunit ribosomal RNA". Lineage: Eukaryota; Fungi; Ascomycota; Orbiliomycetes; Orbiliales. The record is from RNAcentral.